GAAUGAAGAACGUAGCGAAAUGCGAUAAGUAAUGCGAAUUGCAGAAUUCAGUGAAUCAUCGAAUCUUUGAACGCACAUUGCGCCCGCCAGUAUUCUGGCGGGCAUGCCUGUCUGAGCGUCGUUUCGACCCUCGCGCCCGGCUUCUGUCGGGGGCGGUGUUGGGGAUCGGCCACACCCUUCAGUGGGAGGCCGGCCCCUAAAUUCAGUGGCGACCACGCUGUAGCCUCCCCUGCGUAGUACUAAAACCACCUCGCAGGCGGAGAGCGGUGCGGCCCGCCGUAAAACCCCCCAACUUUUACAAGGUCGACCUCAGAUCAGGUAGGAAUACCCGCUGAACUUAAGCAUAUCAAUAAGCGGAGGA
RNAcentral lists this unclassified non-coding RNA (361 nucleotides) under soil metagenome. RNAcentral describes it as "partial contains 5.8S ribosomal RNA, internal transcribed spacer 2, and large subunit ribosomal RNA". The stretch from base 3 to 121 matches the Rfam family "5.8S ribosomal RNA", at positions 36 to 154 of the family's 154-position model. The record is from RNAcentral.